GGGGUGGGAUGGGUUACAGGGGAUGCGCCCUAAGGAUUGGCUGAGGGCCGGGCCGCGCUCCCCCAUUACCUCGCACCAAGAUCCGGCGGCAGUAAUCCGCUUCUCCUCCCCCGGACUGGCUGUCGCCCUCCGGGACGCACUCCUGGGACAAGCCGGGGCUGGCCGCCGAGGUUCCCGGGACCUCCUUGAGUCCGAAUCCGCCUCCGGCUCCACGCAGCGCGGUCUCCAGCUCCCCCCGGGCACCGCUCUUCCCCCGGGCGCGCUCCGGGGCUCCCGGGUCCCCCAGCAGCAGGGGGCUUCUGCCGGCCUGGGCCCCGCCAUCGCUCAUGCCUGUGGCCGCCGCGGAGGGAUCAAACAUCAAGAGACAGAGAGCGGGGCACGGGGGGGGGGGCGUCCNGGAUCAGCGCCCUGGCUCCCGCCAGCGGCAGCCCCGGGGUGCAGCUAAGGAGCCCUCGCCCAGGGCGAACACCAUGGUCGGGAAGACCCAGCGAGGUCCAAUCCUUCCCGGUUCCCUCCUAGCUCUCGCUCUACUCCCGGAGCCUUUCCCCCCGGGCUGCGGGGCAGGCUCGAUCCAUUUAAACAGCCUCUUCCCGCACCCCCCUUCUGCUCCCCCCCUCCGGGGGAAAAAAAACCCCAAGACCAAAUUUCAGUGGAGAAGUCAAGAAAUGCCGGUGCCCGCCGGGCGCCUGGGGCAGAGGUGGGCGGGGGGGAAAGGAGUUAAAAACUUUGACAGCCCUGGUCCUUUCUCACGUACCGCCCCCCUCCGGCCCCAGCACCCCUCUUCCUGCAGACUUCAAGAGCGGAGCCGCGAACCGCUCCUCCCGUGUCUCUCUCUGAUGAGCAAAAACCGAGGAGCGAGCCAAUGUCUCGCCAAGCCCUGCCUGCCAGCCAGCCGGGCCGGCCUUCCGCAGCUGAUUCGCGUGCCCAGAGAUCGCGCCUGCUUUGGGGAUGUGGGUGGAUUUGGGGGAGGGAGUGAGGGGGGGUUAAUUAAAAUAGUCCGGGAUAUUUUUCAGACGCCCCCUCCUUUUCUCCAUCUCUCAUCCCCUGCCGAUAAAGACACGAAUAACCCAAUCAUCAGCGGUAAUCGAAGGACGGA
RNAcentral lists this long non-coding RNA (1096 nucleotides) under Gopherus agassizii (Agassiz's desert tortoise). RNAcentral describes it as "lncRNA (ENSGAGG00000001363.1)". The record is from RNAcentral. Lineage: Eukaryota; Metazoa; Chordata; Testudines; Testudinidae.